AGAGACAGCAGCCGCCGCGGGAAUACAGAGGGUGCGAGCGUUAAUCGGAUUUACUGGGCGUAAAGCGUGCGUAGGCGGCUUCUUAAGUCGGAUGUGAAAUCCCUGAGCUUAACUUAGGAAUUGCAUUCGAUACUGGGAAGCUAGAGUAUGGGAGAGGAUGGUAGAAUUCCAGGUGUAGCGGUGAAAUGCGUAGAGAUCUGGAGGAAUACCGAUGGCGAAGGCAGCCAUCUGGCCUAAUACUAACGCUGAGGUACGAAAGCAUGGGGAGCAAACAGGAUUAGAUACCCCCGUAGUCCCUGUCUCUUAUAC
Molecule: ribosomal RNA, 309 nt
Filed under: uncultured bacterium
Lineage: Bacteria
Description: partial 16S ribosomal RNA
Rfam family: Bacterial small subunit ribosomal RNA
Source: RNAcentral